GCCGGCCUUUCCGACGUCAUUGUGGUCACCAAUCUCGGACAGUAUUGGGAUAUGGAAGCAGGCACGUUGAAAGCCUUGGCGGCCAAAGUGGUCAAAGAUUUCAAGGCUCCAGCUGGCAUGAACGGAGAGGAGUUGUCUAAGGUGAACCAGCUGGUGUGUGGCUUCACGAAAGAGCAGGCCGACAGCAUAACAACAGAGGCAUUUAGUUCCGCGGUGGUGACUCUUCGCCAGCUGGAGGACUGCCCUGACGAGGUCAUAAGAGCCCUGGCGGC
Long non-coding RNA from Penaeus monodon (black tiger shrimp), 272 nucleotides. RefSeq lists it as uncharacterized. The record is from RefSeq and is a predicted model, not a curated record. Lineage: Eukaryota; Metazoa; Arthropoda; Malacostraca; Decapoda; Penaeidae. The transcript has 3 exons.